AGUGAACGCUGGCGGUAGGCCUAACACAUGCGAGUCGAACGGCAGCACAGUAAGAGCUUGCUCUUACGGGUGGCGAGUGGCGGACGGGUGAGGAAUACAUCGGAAUCUACUUUUUCGUGGGGGAUAACGUAGGGAAACUUACGCUAAUACCGCAUACGACCUACGGGUGAAAGCAGGGGAUCUUCGGACCUUGCGCGAUUGAAUGAGCCGAUGUCGGAUUAGCUAGUUGGCGGGGUAAAGGCCCACCAAGGCGACGAUCCGUAGCUGGUCUGAGAGGAUGAUCAGCCACACUGGAACUGAGACUCGGUCCAGACUCCUACGGGAGGCAGCAGUGGGGAAUAUUGGACAAUGGGCGCAAGCCUGAUCCAGCCAUACCGCGUGGGUGAAGAAGGCCUUCGGGUUGUAAAGCCCUUUUGUUGGGAAAGAAAAGCAGCAGGUUAAUACCCCGCUGUUCUGACGGUACCCAAAGAAUAAGCACCGGCUAACUUCGUG
Molecule: ribosomal RNA, 492 nt
Filed under: uncultured bacterium
Lineage: Bacteria
Description: partial 16S ribosomal RNA
Rfam family: Bacterial small subunit ribosomal RNA
Source: RNAcentral